GGAAUCUUGCGCAAUGGGCGAAAGCCUGACGCAGCGACGCCGCGUGAGCGAUGGAGGCCUUCGGGUUGUAAAGCUCUGUGGGGAGGGACGAAUAAGUGCAGGCUAAUACCCUGCAUGAUGACGGUACCUCCUUAGCAAGCACCGGCUAACUCUGUGCCAGCAGCCGCGGUAAGACAGAGGGUGCAAACGUUGUUCGGAAUUACUGGGCGUAAAGCGUGUGUAGGCGGCUAUGUAAGUCGGAUGUGAAAGCCCCGGGCUCAACCCGGGAAGUGCACUCGAUACUGCGUAGCUUGAGUAUCGGAGAGGUUGGUGGAAUUCUCGGUGUAGAGGUGAAAUUCGUAGAUAUCGAGAGGAACACCGGUGGCGAAGGCGGCCAACUGGACGAAUACUGACGCUGAGACACGAAAGCGUGGGGAGCAAAC
Molecule: ribosomal RNA, 422 nt
Filed under: uncultured bacterium
Lineage: Bacteria
Description: bacterial SSU rRNA
Rfam family: Bacterial small subunit ribosomal RNA
Source: RNAcentral